RNAcentral lists this long non-coding RNA (993 nucleotides) under Solanum lycopersicum (tomato). RNAcentral's name for it is "partial TCONS_00034014". Lineage: Eukaryota; Viridiplantae; Streptophyta; Magnoliopsida; Solanales; Solanaceae. The record is from RNAcentral.
AAAACAAGAGAGCUUGGUAUUUAAGAUAAAUAUAAUUAGUCCCCAAUUCCCGAACCCUACAACAUUACCUCUGUCUUUUUCCAGUUAAAACCCCUGCACUCCACUGCCGGCUGCCGCUUCUCGCCGUCAGUUGUCAGCGAUCAGGAUACAUUAAUAUAAUGUAAUAGAACGAUGAACAAGAAGAAAAGAAGAAGAACGGAUGAUGGAGUAAGAAGAAGAACCAGAGACGGAUGAUGAGUAAGAAGAACCAGAGAACAAUGGUAGUUUCAAUUUUUAGAAAUUUCAGAUUUUUGAAAUUCAAAAUUGCAUAUUAAAUAUUGUGAAACGUGUUUAAUUAAAAGUAAUAAUUCAAAAUUUAAAAAGUGAUUUAAAAGAUUAAGUGCUUUAGUGGAGAAAAAAUAGGCAUGAUAUUGAAAAAACGUGUGUUAUAGGAGAGAGAAGACUAUGUAUCUCUAAACUUCUAUUAAAAUUAAAAAAAAAAGAAUUAUGUAAUAUUUAAAAAAAGAAGAAAAAAUUAGAGAAUACUAAACUUAUAGUUGUGUAUUUAAGUUAUUUUUCUUUACGAUGAUUUUUCUUAAAUUAAAAUCACAAAAAUAAAAUACCUGUCGUUGCUUAAAUUGACUCGUCUCUUUUUUUCAUUAAUUAUAUCAUGAGAUCUGUUCCCAACUUCCAAGAAGAACAAAUGAAAUCUCAAUGCUACAUUAACAAGAGAAAAAAAAAUGAAAAUAGAAGUAAGGCGGAUAUAAAUAUAUGUUGAAAAAAAACAUAAAUAUGAUCACUAUGAAUUGAUGGUUUAUCCAGUAAUAAAAUUUAAGUUUUUUUCCUCGUGCAUUAAUAACACAAGUUUGGUGCAAGGUGGGAGUGUGCUGGGAGGGGAAAAAUUUUCAACACUUCAAUUUCAAAAGUGUAGGUUAAAAUUUUAAAAUAACAUGUUAAUGUCCCCAAUGCACGUCCUGGUGAGUUUUAAAUUUUUCAUUGGGAGUAGGUUCAACA